This 2873-nucleotide long non-coding RNA is filed under the name Pongo abelii (Sumatran orangutan). RNAcentral's name for it is "lncRNA (ENSPPYG00000032334.1)". The record is from RNAcentral. Lineage: Eukaryota; Metazoa; Chordata; Mammalia; Primates; Hominidae.
AGUUCUUCCUCCAUGUUCCUUACUCCUGUCUCUGAUCAGCGUGGAGCCUCCGCGUCUACGCGUAACUCAGCGACCAGGUGCUGCACUAACGAUGUGCUCCGCAGCCAGGGUCACCCUGCUCCUGUGAGGAGGGGACGCCAAAAGCAGGAAUCUCGCCUGGGAGGUCCCCACCCUCUGAUAAAACACACACAGCUGCACCAAGGACGUCUGGGAAACAGGCAAGUCUGUAAGCGCUUGCUCUUGAAGCAAUUCCCGAUUCUUCUGCCCUGAAUAACUCAUCAUCUUGAGGUUGCCAAGAACCGUCGGUCAACGAAGGUGUGGGCCAGCUGUCACAGGACAGAGGUGAGCUGGGCUGAGGAUGGUGAGCUGGACUGAGGAUGGUGGGCAGGAGGCCGGCUGCGGGGGAGGAGGAACUCCCAGGUGAGGACCUGGUGCGCAUGACGGGGAAGAUACUAUCGCCACUCCUCUCGGAAACUCAUCCCAUGCCCCUAAUUCUUCAACCCCUCUUCCUAGAUUCUGCAGAGCCCUCAAACCCCACCCAUCUCCACACCUGGAAUUUAGGGACAUGCUACCCACUACCUACUCUUGACUUUAUAGGAGUACGGGGAAGCUUUUCAGGGGUUAUGUAAUUGUUCCUCAUUUUAAAAGUGAAAAAUAUUAACACAGUGCUCAAGUGAAUGGAUCUGGGGCCGGACUGCCUGGGUUCAAAGCACAGCUCCACCACAUUGCUCAGUCUUCCCCUCGCUUUCCUCUUCUAUGAAAUGGAAGUCAUAAUAGUAGCUAUGCUUGGCUUUAUUUUAAAGAUUAAAUGAAGGAAGACAUACAAAGUACUUAGAACAAGUCCUGUUGUAUAGUAACUACAAGUAUUGUCAGUAUCUUUUUUUUCUUUUUUUUUGAGAUGGAGUCUCUCAGUGUUGCCCAGGCAACACUAUGAAGGAGAGAAACACUAUGAAUCUAAUGAAUUUGGAAAAUUUAGCAAGAAAUUAAACUUUACCCAACAUCAAAGAAUGUACACAGGAGAAAAACCUGAUGAGUGUAAAGAAAAUUAGAAAGCCCUGAAGAAGUUAUACCAUACUCAAAAUGAGAGAACUCAAGCAGGAGAGAAAAUCUAUGAUUGUAAGAAAUGUGGGAAAUUCUUUCAUGAAAAAGCAUGCCUUACUCAACAUCAGAGAACCCACACAACAGGAAAACCCAGCAAGUGUAAUGAUAGUGAAAGAGUCUCAAAGAAGGAAUCUUGCCUCACUCCCAGUCAGAGAAUUAAAACAAGAUUAAAACAAGAGAGAAAAACUGUAAAGGUAAUAAAUGUGAGAAACCUUUCUUUGAGAAGUUGAAACACACUCAACAUCAGAGAAGGCACUUGGGGAAAAAAAAUAAUGGGUGUAAUGAAAGUGGGGUUGCCUCAAGUAGGAAGUCACAACUUACACAAAGCCAGAGAGCUCACAAAAAAGAGAAGACCUAUGACUGUAAUAAAUGUGGAGAAAGCUUCCAUAAGAAAACAGAUCUCAGACAGCAUCAGAGCACACACACAGGGAAAAAAAACCCUAUGAAUGUAAUGAAUGUGAAAAAUCCUUCGUUGUGAAGUCCAACUACACUGAACAUCAGAGAACUCACACAGGAGAAAAACCAUAUGAAUGUAAUGAAUGUGGAAAGUCCUUCUGCCAGAAAUCAGCCCUCACAGUACAUCGGAGAACUCACACGGGAGAGAAACCAUAUAAACGUAAUGAAUGUGGGAAAACCUUCUGUGUGAAAUCAAACCUUACUCAACAUCGAAGGACUCACACACUGUGAGAAACCCUAUAAAUGUAAUGAGUGCUGGAGAUCUUACUGUGUGAAAUCCAACCUUGUCGUGCAUCAGAGAACUCAUACAGGAGAAAAACCCUACAGAUGUCCUGAGUGUGGGAAAACCUUCUAUGAAAAGUCAGCCCUCACAAAACAUGAGCGAAUUCACACAGGGGAAAAACUCUAUGGAUGUAAUGAAUGUAGAAAAACCUUCAGCCAGAGGUCAGCCCUCACCAAACAUCAAAGGAAAACACACAAGAAGAAAACUCCCAUCAACACCCUCCAUGUGCAGAAACCUGCAUCUUCAAGCCAAAUUUGUUGAACAUCAGCAAACUCACAGGGCAGAAACACUAAGGUGUUAAUACCUGUAGGAAAGUAUUUGUUUAUAGGUUAUAACAAAUAGGAAUUAGAAAAUUAACAUAGGAGUGAAACCACAUGAAUGCUUUGAACAUGUGAAAGCUUUCAGCAAGUAUUCAGAGCUGUGGAGGAAAAAUUAAUUUUAAGGUAUGUGAAUGCAAAAUGUUCUUGUGCAUAAAAUGUUUAAGUAGAAGUCAUCUUUCAGAUGUAAUAUCAGAGUAAUUAAAGAAAAGAUUAGAAAAUGACUUGUUCUUAAUAGAAUGUGAAACAUGAUCCUUUUGUAAAACUAUGAAUUAUUUAAAUCAUUGACACAAUAGCGUUAAAUAUGUGUGAAGAUUUCCUGAAGUAUAUUGGGCUAUAUAUAGUUACAUAGGAUACGAGUGUGCUGUAUAACAUAAAUUAUGUAUAUGUUAGAUUUACACAUGGGAACACAACAAUACAAUAUAUUUUAUAAGUGAAAAUUGAACGGUCACAUAACCUGUGGCCCAACAAUUCCAAUUCUAGAUACAUACCAUAAAACAGUAAUUCUCAACUGGGCUUCCUAAAGUGUGUUUGGAAAUAUGUUGUUUUGAUUGUCACAUCAUUGACAUGCUACAAGCUCUGGGUAGAUGGGAGGCCAGAGAUGCUAAGUUCCCUACAAUGUAUCAGUGAAAGGACAGGAAAUAGUCUUAUCCAGAAUACCGGUAGUUUCACCACACAAAAAAAUUGCCUUACAGAAACUUGCACAUCUGCACCCA